This 683-nucleotide long non-coding RNA is filed under the name Panax ginseng (ginseng). RNAcentral's name for it is "long non-coding RNA (PGIN_LNC014041)". The record is from RNAcentral. Lineage: Eukaryota; Viridiplantae; Streptophyta; Magnoliopsida; Apiales; Araliaceae.
UAUUGUAAGGAAUGUAUUUGAAGGUCACGUACCUGGGGAAGUAAACUUUGAUGUAUGUAAAUUAAGUUCGAAUUAUAUUAUUAUUUAGUAUUAUUCAGCUUAAAGAAAUGGUAUCGUGGAGAACCGAGUUCGGGUUUCAAGUACCUGGAUUUGGGGUCGCCACAAUGAUCGAGUGUCGGUUAAUAACGUAAGAACGUUCAUAAGCCGUAAUGAAGUAUAGUACGUCAAACUGACUUUAUUAAUGAAAUAAGUAUGAUUAAGUAUACGAAAUGAAAGAUAGUUAAUUGAUGAUGAAUUAAUUAACUUAAAGUAGCAUCUUUGAUGAUGACAAUAACAUUGAGAGUUGCAACUAAAAGUUGUUGAAUAUUAUGUAAACGUGAAGUUUUGCAAUAAGUGUACUUAAUCAAUGACGAUCGAAUUUCGAUUAAUAACGUAAGAACGUUAGUAAGCCGUGAGGAAAGGUGAUUAACUCGAAUGAGUGGUAUUAAUAAAUUAAAUGCACUUACAACAUAGAAGAGAAAGAAGUUGGUAAGAACGAUGUAAACGGCAAGUCGGAACCAAUAAUAAACAAUCUAAUACAUGAUUAGAUUGAGAAGAAGGGUAAGAUUCAUUAGGAAUCAUGUAUGUUCAUUUAUGACCUAAUACGGUAUGUUAUGUGGUUAUGUGUUAUAGAGAUCGUAAAG